AUGUACCAAUAUGCAUAUUUUCCUUGUAUAUGGAUGGAGCCGGAUGAAGUGCAUAGGAUGUCUCUAUUGCAGCUAGCUAAGAGGCAACUUUUUGAACCAGAUACUAAUCUGCUGUACAAUCCUGUGAUAAGAGAACAACACACACCCCAAGGAAAUCCUGAGUAUUCUAGGCAAGGGUGGACAUCGAGCCGCUCUUUCAUAGCUCAGUGCUAUUAUCCUGUCGCUCCUCAUCCUAGAGUCGAUACAGCUGUCACCCUGGGGACUCACGUGAUAUCCAAAGGAUUAGGUUGGGAAUUCCACGAGGUUGAAUAUUCAGUAGCCCCCCCUAGGUACAUUGAAUGGGGAGCUAACAUUUUGAAGAAUCAUUCCAUGCAUUUGAAAGGUAGUGAAGAGAACACAGACUAUAUCUAUGGAGCCAUUUAUUGCUCUUUGGGUGAGUACUCUAUAUCUCCCCCACUUCUGAGGGCUUUGUUAGAGCACUGGGAUCCCAACACUAGCACGUUCUUAUUCCCCUAUGGUGAACGCACAAUCACUCUUCUUGAUAUGAACCAAAUGGCUGGGCUACCCUUAGAUGGUGAUCCGUAUGAAGAAUUUAUACCCCCUACUCAUGAACUGGAUCCUUCUCUCUUGUUGUACCCCAGCUUUUUGCCACAACUCCUUGACAUAUGGAACAAACUCUCCGAAAGCGGCAAUGUAGGUUUUCGGGAAUGGUGCGAUUACUUCCACAAUCGUCUAAACGACACAUUCUUUAUCAAUGGUCUCCAAGACGAGCGCCUCUACACUGCAGCCUAUAUUGCUAUUUGGCUCUGUCGCUUUGUUGUUCCAGGUGGAGGGCCAUAUAUUCAUCCCGGGGUAUUAGUGAUGGCCUCUUGGAUCACAAUAGGGCGUCACAUAUCCUUAGCUCCGCCGGCCCUUUGCUCCUUAUACUAUUCGCUUUGGCUGAUCAGUACUCAUCCCAUUAGUCCCUCCUUUUUGAAAAGGGCAUGGCAAGUCCACUAUCUGAUCAAAUGGAUGGGUAUAUACUUAAGGAAGGUUUUUGGGAAUAAAUCUAGCACCAAAUCACUCCCAUUCUAUAAACAUCCAGCUCCAAAACCAAAAAUGUGGAACACUAUGUCUAGAACUCCACUUUUCCAUGAUCAUGACUCAACACACAAACUUCUUAGAAAGCACACCCAGAUCUCAUGGCACCACUAA
RNAcentral lists this ribosomal RNA (1194 nucleotides) under Triticum aestivum (bread wheat). RNAcentral describes it as "partial small subunit ribosomal RNA". Lineage: Eukaryota; Viridiplantae; Streptophyta; Magnoliopsida; Poales; Poaceae. The record is from RNAcentral.